GUCGGUGUUCUAUUGCAACGUGUACCACCUCUUCCCAUUCCGAACAGAGAAGUUAAAGCGUUGUAAUCCGAUGAUACUUAUGGCUUCGGCUGUGGGGAAAGUAGGAUAUGCCGGCA
Molecule: ribosomal RNA, 116 nt
Filed under: Patescibacteria group bacterium
Lineage: Bacteria
Source: RNAcentral